GAUGAACGCUGGCGGCGUGCCUAACACAUGCAAGUCGAGCGAACAGACGAGGAUCUUGUUCCUCUGACGUUAGCGGCGGACGGGUGAGUAACACGUGGAUCCCCUACUUAUAUUUCUGGUAUCAUUUCGGGAAACCGGCUCUAAUCCCGUAUAAUAUAUUGAACCGCAUGGUUCAUUAGUGAAAUACGGCUUUUCUGUCUCUUAUAGCUGCUUCCGGGCUGGAUUAGCUGGUUGGUACGGUAACGGCUUACCAAGGCAAAGAUGCGUAGCCGACCUGAGAGGGGGAUCGGCGACACUGGAACUGAGACACGGUCAAGACGACUAAGGGAGGCAGCAGUAGGGAAUCGUCGGCAAUGGGCGAAAGCCUGACGGAGCAACGGCGAGUGAGUGAUGAAGGUCUUCGGAUCGUAAAAAUCUGUUAUUAGGGAAGAACAAAUGUGUAAGUAAAUAUGCACGUAUUGACGGUACCUAAUCAGAAAGCCACGGCUAACUACGUG
Molecule: ribosomal RNA, 497 nt
Filed under: uncultured bacterium
Lineage: Bacteria
Description: partial 16S ribosomal RNA
Rfam family: Bacterial small subunit ribosomal RNA
Source: RNAcentral